RNAcentral lists this unclassified non-coding RNA (346 nucleotides) under soil metagenome. RNAcentral's name for it is "partial contains 5.8S ribosomal RNA, internal transcribed spacer 2, and large subunit ribosomal RNA". The stretch from base 1 to 120 matches the Rfam family "5.8S ribosomal RNA", at positions 35 to 154 of the family's 154-position model. The record is from RNAcentral.
GAUGAAGAACGCAGCGAAAUGCGAUAAGUAAUGUGAAUUGCAGAAUUCCGUGAAUCAUCGAAUCUUUGAACGCACAUUGCGCCCCUCGGUAUUCCGGGGGGCAUGCCUGUCCGAGCGUCAUUGCAACCUUCAAGCGCGGCUUGUGUGUUGGGUCUCGUCCCCCUUCCCGGGGGGACGGGCCCGAAAGGCAGCGGCGGCACCGCGUCCGGUCCUCGAGCGUAUGGGGCUUUGUCACCCGCUCUGUAGGCCCGGCCGGCGCUUGCCGAUCAACCAAAACUUUUUUCCAGGUUGACCUCGGAUCAGGUAGGGAUACCCGCUGAACUUAAGCAUAUCAAUAAGCGGAGGA